RNAcentral lists this ribosomal RNA (253 nucleotides) under uncultured bacterium. RNAcentral describes it as "partial 16S ribosomal RNA". It matches the Rfam family "Bacterial small subunit ribosomal RNA", at positions 524 to 776 of the family's 1533-position model. The record is from RNAcentral.
UACGUAGGUGGCAAGCGUUGUCCGGAUUUACUGGGCGUAAAGAGCGCGCAGGCGGUCGUUCAAGUCGCGUGUGAAAGCCCCCGGCUCAACUGGGGAGGGUCACGCGAUACUGAUCGACUCGAAGGCAGGAGAGGGUAGUGGAAUUCCCGGUGUAGUGGUGAAAUGCGUAGAUAUCGGGAGGAAGACCAGUGGCGAAGGCGGCUCACUGGACCGGUACUGACGCUGAGGCGCGAAAGCGUGGGUAGCAAACAGG